Molecule: microRNA precursor, 95 nt
Filed under: Canis lupus familiaris (dog)
Lineage: Eukaryota; Metazoa; Chordata; Mammalia; Carnivora; Canidae
Also listed under: 1 other name
Description: mir-8799 microRNA precursor family
Rfam family: mir-8799 microRNA precursor family
Source: Rfam by way of RNAcentral
GGGGGGAGCCCCGGAUCUUGGGUUGUGUCCCCCAGUGCCCUGUGCUCUGGGGCCUGCACUGCUGGAAUCGCACUUCUGGGGCCGGACAGCCCCCU